UGGGGAAUAUUGCACAAUGGGCGCAAGCCUGAUGCAGCCAUGCCGCGUGUGUGAAGAAGGCCUUCGGGUUGUAAAGUACUUUCAGCGGGGAGGAAGGGAGUAAAGUUAAUACCUUUGCUCAUUGACGUUACCCGCAGAAGAAGCACCGGCUAACUCCGUGCCAGCAGCCGCGGUAAUACGGAGGGUGCAAGCGUUAAUCGGAAUUACCGGGCGUAAAGCGCACGCAGGCGGUUUGUUAAGUCAGAGGUGAAAUCCCCGGGCUCAACCUGGGAACUGCGUCUGAUACUGGCAAGCUUGAGUCUCGUAGAGGGGGGUAGAAUUCCAGGUGUAGCGGUGAAAUGCGUAGAGAUCUGGAGGAAUACCGGUGGCGAAGGCGGCCCCCUGGACGAAGACUGACGCUCAGGUGCGAAAGCGUGGGGAGCAAACAGG
RNAcentral lists this ribosomal RNA (429 nucleotides) under Chloroflexota bacterium. RNAcentral describes it as "Chloroflexi bacterium partial 16S ribosomal RNA". It matches the Rfam family "Bacterial small subunit ribosomal RNA", at positions 355 to 776 of the family's 1533-position model. The record is from RNAcentral. Lineage: Bacteria; Bacillati; Chloroflexota.